GUGGCGAGCUACCAUGCAGUCGAGCGGUAACAGAAAGUAGCUUGCUACUUUGCUGACGAGCGGCGGACGGGUGAGUAAUGCUUGGGAACAUGCCUUGAGGUGGGGGACAACAGUUGGAAACGACUGCUAAUACCGCAUAAUGUCUACGGACCAAAGGGGGCUUCGGCUCUCGCCUUUAGAUUGGCCCAAGUGGGAUUAGCUAGUUGGUGAGGUAAUGGCUCACCAAGGCGACGAUCCCUAGCUGGUUUGAGAGGAUGAUCAGCCACACUGGGACUGAGACACGGCCCAGACUCCUACGGGAGGCAGCAGUGGGGAAUAUUGCACAAUGGGCGCAAGCCUGAUGCAGCCAUGCCGCGUGUGUGAAGAAGGCCUUCGGGUUGUAAAGCACUUUCAGUCAGGAGGAAAGGUUAACGGUUAAUACCCGUUAGCUGUGACGUUACUGACAGAAGAAGCACCGGCUAACUCCGUGCCAGCAGCCGCGGUAA
This 485-nucleotide ribosomal RNA is filed under the name uncultured Pseudoalteromonas sp. RNAcentral describes it as "bacterial SSU rRNA". It matches the Rfam family "Bacterial small subunit ribosomal RNA", at positions 39 to 523 of the family's 1533-position model. The record is from RNAcentral. Lineage: Bacteria; Pseudomonadati; Pseudomonadota; Gammaproteobacteria; Alteromonadales; Pseudoalteromonadaceae.